RNAcentral lists this ribosomal RNA (252 nucleotides) under uncultured bacterium. Its description in RNAcentral is "partial 16S ribosomal RNA". It matches the Rfam family "Bacterial small subunit ribosomal RNA", at positions 524 to 776 of the family's 1533-position model. The record is from RNAcentral.
UCCGUAGGUGGCAAUCGUUGUCCGGAAUUAUUGGGCGUAAAGCGCGCGCAGGCGGUUAUGUAAGUCUGAUGUUAAAGGCCGGGGCUCAACCUCGGUUCGCAUUGGAAACUGUGUAACUUGAGUGCAGAAGAGGAAAGUGGUAUUCCACGUGUAGCGGUGAAAUGCGUAGAGAUGUGGAGGAACACCAGUGGCGAAGGCGACUUUCUGGUCUGUAACUGACGCUGAGGCGCGAAAGCGUGGGGAGAAAACAGG